This 1088-nucleotide long non-coding RNA is filed under the name Strigops habroptila (Kakapo). Its description in RNAcentral is "lncRNA (ENSSHBG00005010774.1)". Lineage: Eukaryota; Metazoa; Chordata; Aves; Psittaciformes; Psittacidae. The record is from RNAcentral.
UUUAUUUAAUUCAGACACCUUUUAUUAUAGUUUGAAGUUACCAUAAAACAACCAGAAACAAAGAGAGCCCUCCAUGCAAGAAAAAAGCCACGACACCCUGUCAGUGAGGAUUCACAGAGGUUUGGAAGUAUGCUUAAUUCAAACAAGAGUGCAGAAGUACUUUUAAUUCAACCCAAGAGUAGGUUAGCACUGAAAGGGAUUUUUUCUACUCUCUCCAAGCCUGGCUAAAGGGUCCCACUGCCCCGUUUGCGCUGCUUCCAUGCAAUGUUUUGGAUCACUGUAAGAUGAAAUCAUUGUUCCACAAAAUGACUCACAUUACAAAGCUGUACCCUGAGACCCUAUCAUUAAAUACCCCACAAGUGGUCCUCUAAAAGUCCUCCUGUUAAGGGUGCCAGAAUUGUGAAAGCAGAAGGCAUUUACAUUUCCCCUGAAGACCCAGUCCUUCCAUCAGCCCUCAAAGCAGUUUGCUGACUAAAUCUUCUAUGUAUUUGAAUAAUUUAACAUAUGAAUAAAUUCAUUUAUGCUGAAUGAAGAGGUGGACUACUGGGAUGCAGUAAUGCCAACACAACAAAAUUGAAGCAGGGGAAGUGAGGGAAAUGAACCCGUAACAAUGGCAAGCAGUACCGUCUGCUCAGGCAGCAGGAGACAGCUGUGACCACAUCUGAAAUACAAGAGCGUAGGGAGGUACAGAGCAGCAUCUAAAAAGGGCUUUAGAAUAAGCAGAGCUGAGCAAAACCCAAGCUGCUUUUUUUGAGCUGCAAGAAAUAUGAUUGUUAUAGAAUGACUGAAAACUUAAUUGCAAGUUUUAUGUCUCAUUCCAAAUUUUCCAAUUCAGAAAGUGUGUAAGUAACAUUCCCGUGCCUUUUACUUUCCACUGGCAGUUAAGCAAAAGAAGUCUCAGCUUCUGCCAAAUGAUCUGUCACACCAAGCCCUUGACCUCGGCAACUGAUGAAUACAUGUUACAAAUGCAUGCAGCACAAAACCUGAAAAUAUUAAAGGCAGACCUCAAGUAGUGUAAACUGGCAUUGGUCCAGCUUACACCAGCUGCUGGUCUGCUCUGUAAAUGUCUUAGAGCAGUUAACAGUUGG